UCAUAAAGUGCGUCGUAGUCCGGAUUGGAGUCUGCAACUCGACUCCAUGAAGUCGGAAUCGCUAGUAAUCGUGGAUCAGAAUGCCACGGUGAAUACGUUCCCGGGCCUUGUACACACCGCCCGUCACACCAUGGGAGUGGGUUGCAAAAGAAGUAGGUAGCUUAACCUUCGGGAGGGCGCUUACCACUUUGUGAUUCAUGACUGGGGUGAAGUCGUAACAAGGUAACCGUAGGGGAACCUGCGGUUGGAUCACCUCCUUACCUUAAAGAAGC
RNAcentral lists this ribosomal RNA (272 nucleotides) under Escherichia coli. Its description in RNAcentral is "partial 16S ribosomal RNA". It matches the Rfam family "Bacterial small subunit ribosomal RNA", at positions 1274 to 1533 of the family's 1533-position model. RNAcentral also lists the same sequence under 1 other name. Lineage: Bacteria; Pseudomonadati; Pseudomonadota; Gammaproteobacteria; Enterobacterales; Enterobacteriaceae. The record is from RNAcentral.